GGGGAUAUGGCUCACUGGCAGAGCAUUCACCUACCACGUGUGAGGCCCUGAGUUCAAGCCUCAGCACCACA
This 71-nucleotide transfer RNA is filed under the name Marmota monax (woodchuck). RNAcentral's name for it is "tRNA.Gly". It matches the Rfam family "tRNA". Rfam says of the family: Transfer RNA (tRNA) molecules are approximately 80 nucleotides in length. Lineage: Eukaryota; Metazoa; Chordata; Mammalia; Rodentia; Sciuridae. The record is from RNAcentral.